UUUGAUUUUCUUCGGAACUGAAGAUUUGGUGAUUGAGUGGCGGACGGGUGAGUAACGCGUGGGUAACCUACCCUGUACAGGGGGAUAACAGUCAGAAAUGACUGCUAAUACCGCAUAAGACCACAGCACCGCAUGGUGCAGGGGUAAAAACUCCGGUGGUACAGGAUGGACCCGCGUCUGAUUAGCUGGUUGGUGAGGUAACGGCCCACCAAGGCGACGAUCGGUAGCCGGACUGAGAGGUUGAACGGCCACAUUGGGACUGAGACACGGCCCAGACUCC
RNAcentral lists this ribosomal RNA (280 nucleotides) under uncultured Eubacteriales bacterium. RNAcentral describes it as "uncultured Clostridiales bacterium partial 16S ribosomal RNA". It matches the Rfam family "Bacterial small subunit ribosomal RNA", at positions 65 to 339 of the family's 1533-position model. Lineage: Bacteria; Bacillati; Bacillota; Clostridia; Eubacteriales. The record is from RNAcentral.